AACGCACAUUGCGCCCGCCAGUACUCUGGCGGGCAUGCCUGUCCGAGCGUCAUUUCAACCAUCAAGCCCCACGGCUUGUGUUGGGGACCUGCGGGCUGCCCGCAGGCCCUGAAAUUCAGUGGCGGGCUCGCUGACACACCGAGCGAAGUAGCAUCAAGCUCGCUCAGGGCGUGCUGCGGGUGCCAGCCGUAAAACCGAGCUUUUAUUAGCACUAGGUUGACCUCGGAUCAGGUAGGAAGACCCGCUGAACUUAA
Molecule: unclassified non-coding RNA, 254 nt
Filed under: uncultured fungus
Lineage: Eukaryota; Fungi
Description: partial contains 5.8S ribosomal RNA, internal transcribed spacer 2, and large subunit ribosomal RNA
Rfam family: 5.8S ribosomal RNA (bases 1-52)
Source: RNAcentral